This 2216-nucleotide unclassified non-coding RNA is filed under the name Hevea brasiliensis (rubber tree). Lineage: Eukaryota; Viridiplantae; Streptophyta; Magnoliopsida; Malpighiales; Euphorbiaceae. The record is from RNAcentral.
GCUGACUCCUCGUGGAGCUUUCCUUCUCCCGGAAACGGUUUCAAUUCUGAUGCACGUGGCAGAGAACAAUAGGAAGUACGUUUAAUUUUGGUGUAUGUGGCAACCAAGGAUCGGUCCUUCGCGUUAAACCAUGACCUUCGUGUUAUCAUAUCACACCUAGGAAAAUUGAACUUCUCUCCACGCGUUUGGUUUUCGAGAAAGUGUCACUGCUCGGGAAAAUUUUAACUCUAUUCUUUUUCUCGAGAAAAAACCCAAACCCUUGUCCUGAUUCGCCAAAUGAAAGCUCACAGUUUCCAUCGCUCAUCGUCUUAGCGUUUAAGAUCCCUCCUCCGGCGAUCCUUCGGUGGCUGAUCUGACAGCGGAGAGAUCACUACUUCCCUUAUCUCUCUCAUUUCGCCCAGAAAAGAGAAGCAAAAGGCACCUUGGUUGCUUUUGUGUAAGGCUUAUAUGAUGGAUCUUAGAAGGCCUGUAUCUCUCCGUCUUUCCUGAUGACAUAAAGUAAAUGGACCACUAUGACUUGCAAGCACAGAGAAGGGAGAUGAAGCAUAAAGGAAGAAAUGUUGUUUGGUCUAUUGCCAUGGACAAGUGCCUUAUUGAAGCUCUUGCUAUUCAGGCUAGAAAUGGAAAUAAAAUAGACAAAUGUUUUAACGAGAAUGCAUACUCUGCUGCUUGUAUUGCUGUGAACUCUCGCUUUAAUUUAAACUUGAACAAUCAAAAAGUUGUUAAUCGUCUUAAAACCAUUAAGAAAAGGUACAAGGUAAUAAGGGAUAUGCUAAGUCAAGAUGGAUUCAGGUGGAAUCCCAGUACAAAGAUGAUUGAAUGUGACAGUGAUGAUCUUUGGAAGAGAUACAUCGCAGUAAGUCUUUAUUUAUUAAUUUAUUAUUUUGAGGCAGUUGUUUUUGUUGCUUGUUUACAAUAUUGUUUUGGUGUCUUUCAAACAUAUUUAACAGGCACAUCCUGAUGCAAAAGGCAUUCGGGGUAAACAGAUUGAGAUGUAUGAUGAACUAAAAAUUGUUUGUGGAAAUUACCAAGCUCCUAGCCGUUGGGCUAAGAUGAAGGAUGGAGGUCAUGUAACAAAGAAUUUUGAAGAAGAUUCUCCUUCAUUCCUCUCACCAAGUUCAGAAAAUGUGAGUGAGACCGAUGGUACAGAAUCAUAUACUGGGCCACCAGAUUGUCUGCCAGAUGGUAGUCAAGACCCUCCUCUGAUACAGCCUGUCAGACAACUUCCGAAACGGGCCCGUGGAUCAGAAGCUCUUCAAGAUGCAAUGUUGGCAGUGGCAUCAAGCAUUCGGCGUCUGGCUGAUGCAGUGGAGCAAAGCAAAACUGCAAUUGAUCCCUCAGAACUUUUACAGGCUGUGAUGGAAGUUGAUGGCAUAGAAGAGGCUAAACAAAUGUAUGCUUUUGAAUAUCUGAAUGCUGACCCCAUUAAAGCCAGAGCCUUUGUGACAUACAAUGCUCGUAUGAGGAAGAUUUAUUUGUUUCGACAGUUUUGGUGGUGGAAGUGACACUCUUAUGUAUAUUUUGCAAAAAUGUGAAAGGAUUGUUCCAUGGAUGCUUGCCCAUUAAACCCUAAUUGAUGUUUGGAGGUGAAUGUACAGAUAGAUGAUCUCGGGAUGAAAAUUUAGAGCUAGAAGCUGGUAUUAUAUAGACAUUGACCAGCCUCUAUGCUUGCGUCUUUUUGAAGUGAAGAUAGCAUUUUGUAAGAUCUUCCCUUCUUGCUUUAUCCUUUUAAAGAGGUCUGAUGUUGCUCUUUUUUCUCUUAAUUUUGGAUAUAACGGCAAAAGAAUCUAUCCUGUGACCACUGGAAUUGAACGUGCUAAUUGAUUGCCAUCAAAUGUGUUAAGCUAAGUUCAAUUGUUUAUUGCUUUGCAACCAUUGGUUUCAUCAGAGAUAAAGUUCCUUGAUAGUGUUGUUUGCAGACCAUCUUUGUCAAUUUCCUACGGAACUUGAAUUUUAUGGUGGACGCUUGGGACUAAGCUUACUACUGGCUAGUAAAGGUCUGGAGCUGAAUCUUGAUUAUGCAUUUUUGUUCUCAGAUCUGAUUAGCUGUAUCUACGGACAUUAAUGGUAAAAGAUGAUGGAUUACUCAAACUCUUGUAUGUUGCAUGAUGUAAUCAUUUUAUAUGCUAGUUCAUUUAUUUACUUUUUCCCUGAUUACUUCUUAAAUGUAAUUGGCACAUGGAUAUCAAGUCAAUAAAACAACAGGGAUUGCUCUU